GAUGAACGCUGGCGGCGUGCCUAAUACAUGCAAGUCGAGCGAACGGACGAGAAGCUUGCUUCUCUGAUGUUAGCGGCGGACGGGUGAGUAACACGUGGAUAACCUACCUAUAAGACUGGGAUAACUUCGGGAAACCGGAGCUAAUACCGGAUAAUAUUUUGAACCGCAUGGUUCAAAAGUGAAAGACGGUUUUGCUGUCACUUAUAGAUGGAUCCGCGCUGCAUUAGCUAGUUGGUAAGGUAACGGCUUACCAAGGCAACGAUGCGUAGCCGACCUGAGAGGGUGAUCGGCCACACUGGAACUGAGACACGGUCCAGACUCCUACGGGAGGCAGCAGUAGGGAAUCUUCCGCAAUGGGCGAAAGCCUGACGGAGCAACGCCGCGUGAGUGAUGAAGGUCUUCGGAUCGUAAAACUCUGUUAUUAGGGAAGAACAUAUGUGUAAGUAACUAUGCACAUCUUGACGGUACCUAAUCAGAAAGCCACGGCUAACUACGUG
This 497-nucleotide ribosomal RNA is filed under the name uncultured bacterium. Its description in RNAcentral is "partial 16S ribosomal RNA". It matches the Rfam family "Bacterial small subunit ribosomal RNA", at positions 28 to 507 of the family's 1533-position model. The record is from RNAcentral.